AACAGGAUUAGAUACCCUGGUAGUCCACGCCGUAAACGAUGUCGACUUGGAGGUUGUGCCCUUGAGGCGUGGCUUCCGGAGCUAACGCGUUAAGUCGACCGCCUGGGGAGUACGGCCGCAAGGUUAAAACUCAAAUGAAUUGACGGGGGCCCGCACAAGCGGUGGAGCAUGUGGUUUAAUUCGAUGCAACGCGAAGAACCUUACCUACUCUUGACAUCCAGAGAACUUUCCAGAGAUGGAUUGGUGCCUUCGGGAACUCUGAGACAGGUGCUGCAUGGCUGUCGUCAGCUCGUGUUGUGAAAUGUUGGGUUAAGUCCCGCAACGAGCGCAACCCUUAUCCUUUGUUGCCAGCGAUUCGGUCGGGAACUCAAAGGAGACUGCCAGUGAUAAACUGGAGGAAGGUGGGGAUGACGUCAAGUCAUCAUGGCCCUUACGAGUAGGGCUACACACGUGCUACAAUGGCAUAUACAAAGAGAAGCGACCUCGCGAGAGCAAGCGGACCUCAUAAAGUAUGUCGUAGUCCGGAUUGGAGUCUGCAACACGACUCCAUGAAGUCGGAAUCGCUAGUAAUCGUGGAUCAGAAUGCCACGGUGAAUACGUUCCCGGGCCUUGUACACACCGCCCGUCACACCAUGGGAGUGGGUUGCAAAAGAAGUAGGUAGCUUAACCUUCGGGAGGGCGCUUACCACUUUGUGAUUCAUGACUGGGGUGAAGUCGUAACAAGGUAACC
This 730-nucleotide ribosomal RNA is filed under the name uncultured bacterium. RNAcentral describes it as "bacterial SSU rRNA". It matches the Rfam family "Bacterial small subunit ribosomal RNA", at positions 771 to 1501 of the family's 1533-position model. The record is from RNAcentral.